UGCUUCCGAGUUUUAAUGAAUUUCACUUACUCAUAUUAAUAUUUUCACUAUUAUAUGUAUACCCACACAAUAUUAAAAAUUCUUUGAGCCAAAAAUUCUUUUAUAAAAUUUCACGAUGCUUUUUGCAUUAAUCAUCUUUUCAUUUAAGGGUUUGCUUAAUUCUCUUAAUUUUUUAUCUCGUCAAGUCAUAUCAAUUUCUUUAUAUUCAUCAAUCAUUACAUAUGCACGUGGCCUUCUUCUUCUUCUUCCACCACGUGGCCGGCUCUCCUUUGUCGCCGCUCACCCGCCACAUCUCUCUCCUCCUUUCAUGCGGCCAAGCUUCCUCGGCUACUCACCGUCUCGCAUGUCGACCACCGCCUCUCCUGCUCGGCAACGAUCUCCCACUGCACCAUUUCUCUCUCUCGACUGCCUCCCUUGUGGCUAGGUUUCCUCCCUC
RNAcentral lists this long non-coding RNA (436 nucleotides) under Carica papaya (papaya). Its description in RNAcentral is "long non-coding RNA (CPAP_LNC013523)". The record is from RNAcentral. Lineage: Eukaryota; Viridiplantae; Streptophyta; Magnoliopsida; Brassicales; Caricaceae.